AGUGAACGCUGGCGGUAGGCCUAACACAUGCAAGUCGAACGGCAGCACAGUAAGAGCUUGCUCUUACGGGUGGCGAGUGGCGGACGGGUGAGGAAUACAUCGGAAUCUACUUUUUCGUGGGGGAUAACGUAGGGAAACUAACGCUAAUACCGCAAACGACCUACGGGUGAAAGCAGGGGAUCUUCGGACCUUGCGCGAUUGAAUGAGCCGAUGUCGGAUUAGCUAGUUGGCGGGGUAAAGGCCCACCAAGGCGACGAUCCGUAGCUGGUCUGAGAGGAUGAUCAGCCACACUGGAACUGAGACACGGUCCAGACUCCUACGGGAGGCAGCAGUGGGGAAUAUUGGACAAUGGGCGCAAGCCUGAUCCAGCCAUACCGCGUGGGUGAAGAAGGCCUUCGGGUUGUAAAGCCCUUUUGUUGGGAAAGAAAAGCAGCAGGUUAAUACCCCGCUGUUCUGACGGUACCCAAAGAAUAAGCACCGGCUAACUUCGUG
RNAcentral lists this ribosomal RNA (492 nucleotides) under uncultured bacterium. RNAcentral's name for it is "partial 16S ribosomal RNA". It matches the Rfam family "Bacterial small subunit ribosomal RNA", at positions 29 to 507 of the family's 1533-position model. The record is from RNAcentral.